Rhipicephalus sanguineus (brown dog tick) is the source of this 1111-nucleotide long non-coding RNA. RefSeq lists it as uncharacterized. The record is from RefSeq and is a predicted model, not a curated record. Lineage: Eukaryota; Metazoa; Arthropoda; Arachnida; Ixodida; Ixodidae. The transcript is spliced from 3 exons.
AAUUGAAUACCACCUGCAAGCCUAGCCACUUUACAACCGAUGCGAAGUUUGCGAACAGCCGCCGCACUUCGCUGACACGAGAACACGGAUAGGGUGCCUUGAUGCCCGCGCGCUCAGCGAGGGCGCGCGCAUCGAGGCACUCUAAACACGGACAGGAAACGGCUGAACAAACAUUGGUUUCGUACUAACAACCCUUCCAAAAAAGUUGCACUUGAAGAGGUAAGAUAAGGUAAAAAUACGCUCUAAAAUAAAAAAAAAACAAUUCUUGCUUACAAAAUUUCGUACUGUUUGUUGACAGAAGCGAGAAUAUUAAAAUUUAGUUUUCUCAGAAGUGCGUGCGUUGCGGCAAGUGCCAUCAGCAUAGUCAUCGCGAUCGGACCGCGCUUUUUUGUGGACGCAUCAGACGCAUCAUGCCACAGGUCACCGGCGUAUUUUAUAUCCGGCGUCUUUGAAAUAUUCAUGUUGGCACAGUCCGUGGAUUCAGCCACAUUCGAGUGUUGGCUCGCGACUGCAGCCAACUGCAGUGGACACGGUGACGGGCGCAGCAAGCAUGACGUGUGGGAGCUACUGUACGCGCAUGUCUCAUUGCUGACGCAACGCGGAACAAAGAAAGAACCCUAAGCAACGAGAAUAUAUCCGCGACCUUGUCUCCUGAAGCUGAAGCAGAACGGGCAACAGUUUGACAACGAAUAUCCUUGGUAGCAGGAAUUGUAUAGCUGUACUAUGAAGCCCCCUCUGUAUGAGAUGUUUUCACCGAACAACUGUUGUGUAAUAAAGGCUCUUCGUGUUGAACACCACCUAGUUUCAAUUGGGCGACCAUUUACUAUUAACUGGAUUGCCUGUUGAACACCAGUUCACUUUAACUGGUUACCCAUUUGGACACCGGUUAGCUUCAAUUGGAUUACCACAUCUAUUCAAUUGGUUAACCAAUUAAACACCACCUAGUUUCAAUUGGGUGACCAGUUACGAUUAACUGGAUUACCAGUUGAACACCAAUUCACUUUAACUGGUUACCCAUUUGGGCACCAGUUAGCUUCAAUUGGAUGACCAUGCGUGUUCAAGUGGUUGACCAAUUGGACCCGUCUAUGUCAACUGGUCAACCAAUUACCAC